Non-coding RNA from Pogona vitticeps (central bearded dragon), 843 nucleotides. The record is from RefSeq and is a predicted model, not a curated record. Lineage: Eukaryota; Metazoa; Chordata; Lepidosauria; Squamata; Agamidae.
ACAAGAAACAAAUCAUUGCUUUCAUGCUGAGCUCAUGAAUCCUGCUCUCUGAUGUGAAUGGGUGGAGCUGGCGGUCCAGUUUUAAAGCCAUUUCUAAAGAAGCAGUUUUCUCCUCUUCCAGAAAUGCUUGUCCUGAUGUUUGUCUUCCCACCUGGAGAACCAGGGAAACAUAACAGUUCCUCAGGAUGUCAGUGAAGCUAAAGCGGAUGCUAAAGAAGAAAGCAGGAGAGGAAAAGUCUGGGACAAAUCAAAAGAUUCAUUAUGUGGCAAAAUGCACCAUAAAACUGAACUUGUUGCUGAAGGGGCAAAAAAGAAAGCUUGUUUGUUUAAAGAUGCUUGUUUGGAGAGCUGGAAUAUUAAGGAGUAACUGGAACAUAUUCAGAGAGGCCUGGGAUAUUGGGGCUGCUAAAAGGCUUCCAUGAUACAUGUGAUCUAUAGGCUACAUCAUUCCAUCCCUGAUUUAAUUCAGCAUCCUGAUUUCCAGUGUGGCCAAACAACUGCUUAUGAAAGGACCUCGAGCAGGAUCUCAGUGCAUAGAAAGAAGAGAUGAACGUGAUGCAUAUCUUAAAAUAAGGUCUUUGCUGCCGAUUGAAAUCCUUUUUGCAGGCAGCUUCUAAUAUAGUCAUCAGACAAGAAGGCAGUUCUUGAAAGGAGUGUCCUGUUUUAAAAUGAAAGUGGCAAAUAAAUAAUAUAUAUUUCAAUGAUGACCCUAUGAUUGUUGUGUCAAAUAUACCUCCAUUAACCUCCCAGUACUGUAGGGCCGAUGUCGCUUUGGAAGAAUAGUGCAUGUUAUGAAAGAUAACGAAGUGGCCACCACAAAAUUUCAUCCCUGUGUUGUGCCAU